UACGUAGGUGGCAAGCGUUGUCCGGAAUUAUUGGGCGUAAAGCGCGCGCAGGCGGUCCUUUAAGUCGGGGGUGAAAGCCCAGAGCUCAACUCUGGAACUGCCUUCGAAACUAGAGGACUUGGGUACGGGAGAGGUGAGUGGAAUUCCGAGUGUAGAGGUGAAAUUCGUAGAUAUUCGGAAGAACACCAGUGGCGAAGGCGGCUCACUGGCCCGUUACCGACGCUCAGGCGCGACAGCGUGGGGAGCAAACAGG
This 253-nucleotide ribosomal RNA is filed under the name uncultured bacterium. Its description in RNAcentral is "partial 16S ribosomal RNA". It matches the Rfam family "Bacterial small subunit ribosomal RNA", at positions 524 to 776 of the family's 1533-position model. The record is from RNAcentral.